UGAGGAAUAUUGGUCAAUGGGCGGAAGCCUGAACCAGCCAAGUCGCGUGAGGGAAGACGGUCCUAUGGAUUGUAAACCUCUUUUGCAGGGGAGCAAGGCCUGUUACGAGUAACAGGUUGGAGAGUACCCUGAGAAAAAGCAUCGGCUAACUCCGUGCCAGCAGCCGCGGAUAAUAGCGGGAGGAUGCGAGCUGUUCGAUUCCUGGGUAAGUUUAUUGGGUUUAAAGGGGUGCGGUAGGGCGGGCAUGGUAAGUCAGCAAGGUAAAAUGCGGUGCUCAACGCCGUAGUGCCGUUGAAACUGCCGGUCUUGAGUGAGCGAGAAGUAUGCGGAAUGCGUGGUGUAGCGGUGAAAUGCAUAGAUAUCACGCAGAACUCCGAUUGCGAAGGCAGCAUACCGGCGCUCAACUGGACGCUGAGGCACGAAAGCGUGGGGAUCGAACAGGAUUAGAUACC
RNAcentral lists this ribosomal RNA (452 nucleotides) under uncultured bacterium. Its description in RNAcentral is "bacterial SSU rRNA". It matches the Rfam family "Bacterial small subunit ribosomal RNA", at positions 355 to 786 of the family's 1533-position model. The record is from RNAcentral.